GCUACAUUAGUGGAAUUAACAUUUUAUUAUUUAUCAAAUGAAUGUGAUAUGCAUGAUUUUUAGAAUAUAUUUUAUUUGGUUAUGAGUUUCUUCCAUUAAUUAAAUUGUGCUCAUUAAUUUUAUGUACUUACGCUGUUGAAAUACAUAAAUUUGGUAGCGACUUAAAUACUAAAAUUUAGGUUGUUACAGGAAGGACUAUAGUCCUCUGAUGAUCAAAUCGUUCAGCCAAUUUUUUCCAAAGAACCCGUGGAUCUUUUUCAGUAAGGUAUUCAAUUUUCAAUCUACCAUGAAGAUGAUGACGAAAGAAGAUAAGUGGGUUUCUAUGAUCCUGGAGAGAUUUUUUUCAUUCUCUUAUUGUUUCUCCCAAAUCUUUUGAGACAGGAUGAUUAUCAAUAUCGAGUAUCUAUUAUAGAUACUUUUUUCUAAAUAUGUCAACUGCAACAAAUUCAAGUUUUGUAAUGUUAGACAUUUGAUUAAC
RNAcentral lists this long non-coding RNA (478 nucleotides) under Olea europaea (common olive). Its description in RNAcentral is "long non-coding RNA (OEUR_LNC015399)". Lineage: Eukaryota; Viridiplantae; Streptophyta; Magnoliopsida; Lamiales; Oleaceae. The record is from RNAcentral.